AUCUUCAAAGCAGUUAGGAUUCUCAGCCUGGUGAUGUUUUUUAUUCUUAAUGCCGUUUCUACAGGUAAAAUGUCAGGUGCAAAACAUCAAAGUUUUGUUGAAGAUUAUUACAGGUCAACAUGAAAUUAUAUUAAGUUACGUAAUCUAAAAAUCGAAAGGGGGUUUAAAACUACUGUCCAAUAGCUCACUCUCUCUCCGCUCUGUUAAAUCUGCACCACAUCUAAAAGACACAUCCUUUGUGUUCAUGUGUUUUUUUCCUCUUUGAUGUGAAGCUGAGAGGAGGGAGGAGGAUGGAGAAGUAGGAGGAAGAGAGCAGCGAGACGGGGAAGGACAAGGGUGGAGGAUGUAGGUGUAAAAGCAGCUGCGGAGAGGAGGCAGAACUGACACACAAAGGUGGACGAAGCUUCAUUUCCAGGGAUAAGUUUUCCCACGAGUCCUCUGCCUCCUCCAUAUACAUCCAAAGAACGACCAAACCCUGCAGCGCCCGACCACAGAAGCAGGGAUUUCUCGGGCUGUUAUCUUGAAAACACACAGAUGAGCUGUCCUCUAAUUCCUCGGACAAACUGCCUGCAUGAGAAGAGAGAUGGCCACGUAGCUGAACAGCUGCGGCUUGCAUGCCUGUCCAAACUAACAGCAGUGCUGCUGAACCACUGGGGCUCACAAAGAGAUUAGAGACGGUUCCCCCACUCAGCGUCUCAACACCCACUCCGUUCCUCCUGAUCAUCUCGCUGAACUCCUCCCUCCAUCCACCCAUCCUACCAACUUCUCUCCCUUUCAAUCAACCCUCACCCAUCCUUCCUAUACCCCCUCAUCCCUCGACCCUCGACCCCUUCCCCCAUCCCUCGACCCCUACCCCAUCAUGCCUUCAUCCUUCCGCCCCCUCCAUCCCUCGACCCUUUCCCUCCCAGUAUUCCGCAUAUGUUCAUAACGUGUAA
Molecule: long non-coding RNA, 935 nt
Filed under: Sparus aurata (gilthead seabream)
Lineage: Eukaryota; Metazoa; Chordata; Actinopteri; Spariformes; Sparidae
Description: lncRNA (ENSSAUG00010022419.1)
Source: RNAcentral